Molecule: long non-coding RNA, 577 nt
Organism: Lytechinus pictus (painted urchin)
Lineage: Eukaryota; Metazoa; Echinodermata; Echinoidea; Temnopleuroida; Toxopneustidae
Exons: 4
Source: RefSeq, a predicted model, not a curated record
GCCUUGAAUUGCUAAGAGAGCUACCUUUGCCAAGACCACGUCGUGGGCUACGGGAUGCUAGAAAUCCAUUGGAAUCGUACGAGGAUGGGCCAUUUCGAGAUCGGUAUCGACUGUCAAAAGAAACCGUCAUUUACAUCAUCAACAUGCUGGAAGCAGAAUUGAAGAGGGACACACAGAGGAAUGAUCCACUUCCCGUUUAUUUGAAGGUGUUGACGGCUCUCCGUUUUUAUGCGGAUCAUUUCAAAAGAUGCAUGGUGAUGAGGCAGCAAUAUCACAGUCAUCAAUGUGUCGAAUCAUCAAAGAUGUGUCGGAAGCUAUAGCAAGAAGGAAGAGGCAAUACAUGAAGUUCCUUCGACAAGAGAUGAAGUUGAAGCAACUCAGCGACAGUUCUACCAGUACUGCAGAUUUCCAGGAGUGAUAGGUGCAAUUGAUGGGACACAUGUCUACAUCAGGAGCCCUGGUGGGGAUCAGGCAAUAUACUUCCUCAACAUGAAGAAUAGAUACUCGAUCAAUGUACAGGUUGUUUGUGAUCAGAAAACGUAUCCGGACAUCUACCCCCUGGACAUCCACCCCCCGG